GAUGAACGCUAGCGGCAGGCUUAACACAUGCAAGUCGAGGGGUAUAAGGAGCUUGCUCCUUAGAGACCGGCGCACGGGUGCGUAACGCGUAUGCAACCUACCUUUCACAGGGGGAUAGCCCAGAGAAAUUUGGAUUAAUACCCCUUGGUAUAAUUGGAUGGCAUCAUUUGAUUAUUAAAGUUCCAACGGUGAAAGAUGGG
Molecule: ribosomal RNA, 200 nt
Filed under: uncultured bacterium
Lineage: Bacteria
Description: partial 16S ribosomal RNA
Rfam family: Bacterial small subunit ribosomal RNA
Source: RNAcentral